GCAUCUGUGGCCGAGAGGCCGAAGGCAGCGGACUCAUGAAUCCGCCAUCUUAUUUAGGACGUCGCUGGUUCGAAUCCAGCCAGAUGCAU
RNAcentral lists this transfer RNA (89 nucleotides) under Gracilaria domingensis. Its description in RNAcentral is "tRNA-Met". It matches the Rfam family "tRNA". From Rfam's summary of the family: Transfer RNA (tRNA) molecules are approximately 80 nucleotides in length. Their secondary structure includes four short double-helical elements and three loops (D, anti-codon, and T loops). RNAcentral also lists the same sequence under 2 other names. The record is from RNAcentral. Lineage: Eukaryota; Rhodophyta; Florideophyceae; Gracilariales; Gracilariaceae.